RNAcentral lists this ribosomal RNA (253 nucleotides) under uncultured bacterium. Its description in RNAcentral is "partial 16S ribosomal RNA". It matches the Rfam family "Bacterial small subunit ribosomal RNA", at positions 524 to 776 of the family's 1533-position model. The record is from RNAcentral.
UACAGAGGGUGCGAGCGUUAAUCGGAAUUACUGGGCGUAAAGGGUGUGUAGGUGGUUAUGUGCGUUUGAUGUGAAAUCCCCGGGCUUAACCUGGGAACUGCAUUGAAUACGGCAUAGCUUGAGUCGGACAGAGGGCAGCGGAAUUUCCGGUGUAGCAGUGAAAUGCGUAGAGAUCGGAAAGAACACCAAUGGCGAAGGCAGCUGUCUGGGUCCAGACUGACACUGAGGCACGAAAGCGUGGGGAGCAAACAGG